Molecule: long non-coding RNA, 2046 nt
Organism: Carassius gibelio (silver crucian carp)
Lineage: Eukaryota; Metazoa; Chordata; Actinopteri; Cypriniformes; Cyprinidae
Exons: 4
Source: RefSeq, a predicted model, not a curated record
AUUAUCAUGCCUUAUUACAGUCACACCGUAUUAUAUUACAAUAAGAGAGUGUGUAAAUGUUUUGUAACUUUAUCUUCAGCACAAUCAUUUAUAUGUCAUCUGGUCCUAGCUGCUUACAAGUGUUCAGAUAGUUUUAGCUGGUUUACCAAAGUGCCCCAAACCCCUCUAAAACCAGUUAAAAAGGCUGAGGAGUCUUUUAAAAAAAAUACAAAAUCUUGCAUAUAAAUAAUUUUUAACACCUCCCCUGUCUGCAGCCACUUCUGUUAUUCUUUAAAAACUAUUUUAAGAGCUAUUAAAGAUCGAUAAAAUAUUAAACCACGCCCCUUUUGUCUCUAAUAAUGGUAAAAUGUGAUUUAUUAAGUAAAACCUUAGUUUUAUUUGACUUGGCCUAGCGUCUUGUCAAUGACACGACUUUUUGAAGUGACUCGUUUGGCAGGUUACAAGUGAAUCAUUGAAUCACCAACUGAACCGAGUCGUUCAAAACACUCGAUCUGAUUCGAUCUGUGAGGAAACACAUCUCAUUUGGGCUCGUUAUAAUUUUCUUUGUAGGAGGAAAAACAGACAACUGUAACUGGAAAUGUGGUGUGCAUACAUUUGAAUCCCAAAAUAAAUUUUACAAGUGGUCUCUGUGGGACAGUCAAGGUUCAGUCACAGGCUCAUAGACGUCAAUAAACAGAUCCUGCUGUGCUGCUCUCACUGUGGAUGACUGCCAAGUGCCGUGUAGUUUGAACACUAAUUGGGCCAGCAGGAGCCGAAAGAUGCAGACAGAUCCAAAGGUCCCAGUCCCUCACUGUGACGUACAUGAUGGGAGUCAAAUCAAUGAGAUGAGGCUGAAUCAAUGAGAUGUCAGUGUUGUCUUAUCAUUGCCUUUUGAAGCUUAAUGAUGAUCUUGCAGCUGCAGGUUAUAAUUUGACCAAACAAAAUAAAGGGGAGACGACAAAGCUGAGAAAUGAAACCCAACAUCGUGCUGAGUGAAAGAAGAAGGUUGCUCACCUCCGAUUUUCCAAAAACCAAUUUCCAAUCUACUUAUUCUGUUCUCGCACAGUAUGAGUCAUCUAACACACGGAGCAGCGCAGCUCCAACUGUAUUCUCUAUGGGGCAGGAAACAUCAUUUAAUUUCAGCAUUUUUGCUGAAAAACUGCUGAUGUAUAUUUCUGCCUCUUUACCUCUGCUUUCACCUUCUCAGGUUCAUGAUUCAUGCUUGGUUUUUGCAUUUUAAAAAAGGUACAAAGUCAAUUAUAUUUAGCCCAAACAGUCACAUUAACAGUCAUUAAAGUGUGAAAAGUAAUUAAACACUAAUUUGAGAGCAUUUGCAGUGAGUGCUCUUGUUGUCAGAUGUUCUGCUUUAGAUCAUCUCCUCACUGUAUUGUUGUGGACAGGACCAUUCAUAGUCAGCACCUCUCUAAGCUUAGGAACAGUUAAUUGAUUAGCCAUGCCACCUACUCCCUCUGAGCCCUCUCUCUAAAGAUAAGUGUCGUCUCUGAAAUCGAACCCUCUGCCUGGCAUGCUUCCGUCUGAUUAGCUGGCGGAACAAUUAUCUUAAUCGUGUCAUCUUAACAAACCCCCGCGAUAAGCCGCCUUGGGGCCAGUAAUCCAGAAGACCUUCGCCUACACGGCAAACUGUCCCUUAUCUCUCUUCAUAAUAAAGAUGAAUUAAGUUGAGGAAAAGACAACAUAAAGUUCCCAUUGCGGGUGUUUACGCGUCUUUGUUAGUGACAGUUGAUAGUUUAUCAAAUUAAGAAAUUAGGAGUCAAAUCAUCAUGACUUAACAGCAUUUAAUGUGUGGAAAAACAAUGUUAGAAAAAACUAGUUAAGUAAUGAUGAGUGCAUAGCUAGCUUGCAGUGCACAAAAUAGCCAACCCUCAAUUCUCUAUUCUAGUCUCUGUGUGUAACUGUUCAGAAGUUUAGGGUCAGUAACAUCUUAUGCUCUGCAUUUAUUUGAUCCAAAAAAACAAAACUGUAAUAUUGUGAAAUAUUAAUAUAAUUUAAGAUAUCUGUUUACUAUUUUAAUAUAUUUUAAACAUAAUUUAUUCCUGUGAUGCUAAA